GAUGAACGCUGGCGGCGUGCCUAAUACAUGCAAGUCGAGCGAACAGACGAGGAGCUUGCUCCUCUGACGUUAGCGGCGGACGGGUGAGUAACACGUGGAUAACCUACCUAUAAGACUGGGAUAACUUCGGGAAACCGGAGCUAAUACCGGAUAAUAUAUUGAACCGCAUGGUUCAAUAGUGAAAGACGGUUUUGCUGUCACUUAUAGAUGGAUCCGCGCCGCAUUAGCUAGUUGGUAAGGUAACGGCUUACCAAGGCAACGAUGCGUAGCCGACCUGAGAGAGUGAUCGGCCACACUGGAACUGAGACACGGUCCAGACUCCUACGGGAGGCAGCAGUAGGGAAUCUGCCGCAAUGGGCGAAAGCCUGACGGAGCAACGCCGCGUGAGUGAUGAAGGUCUUCGGAUCGUAAAACUCUGUUAUUAGGGAAGAACAAAUGUGUAAGUAACUAUGCACGUCUUGACGGUACCUAAUCAGAAAGCCACGGCUAACUACGUG
This 497-nucleotide ribosomal RNA is filed under the name uncultured bacterium. RNAcentral describes it as "partial 16S ribosomal RNA". It matches the Rfam family "Bacterial small subunit ribosomal RNA", at positions 28 to 507 of the family's 1533-position model. The record is from RNAcentral.